AAGUCGUAACAAGGUUUCCGUAGGUGAACCUGCGGAAGGAUCAUUACAGUAGUAAUGCACGCGGGGGGCCGGCUUCGUGUCGCCCCCGUGUACAGGCCUCGACCGUAAAAGGUCGAGCGACCUGUUAAACCCUUUGUGAAAACCCCCAAGUUGCUUCGGCAGCUCGCUGCUAUUAAGUUAGCGGCGGUCAGCCUGCCGACGGCACCCAUGGAAACUCAUUUAUGUAACUUAGCACUUGUACGUCUGAGCGCGAAGUCGAAUUGACUAUAAAACUUUCAACAACGGAUCUCUUGGUUCCCGCAUCGAUGAAGAACGCAGCGAAACGCGAUAGUUAAUGUGAAUUGCAGAAUUCAGUGAAUCAUCGAGUCUUUGAACGCACAUUGCGCCUUUUGGUAUUCCGAAAGGCACGUCUGUUCGAGCGUCAGUAAAACCCUUCCGGACCGGUGGUUUUUGUAAACCGCCUGGCCUCGGGACCCUGGCGUGGGGAAGUGACCCGCGAGCCCUUAGGGGCUUGUCUGGGUUUCCCCCGCUUAAACGCGGAGAAAGCUAGCGGGCAUCGGCCUCACAAAUUGCGACAACUCGUAAAUUUUAUAGGUUGUAACAGCACAGUGGACCUGCCCCGCCUCUUGCAACAACAAGGAAUUGGUUAACCCCCAAUUCCCCUGACCUUUGACCUCGGAUCAGAUGAGGAUACCCGCUGAACUUAA
Molecule: ribosomal RNA, 707 nt
Rfam family: 5.8S ribosomal RNA (bases 271-424)